AAACGUACAUAUUGAGCGCUCCCUGUGCACCAGGUGCUGUGCCAGGCACUGGGGAUCUGCAGAUAAACAGGAAAAGGUCACUGCCCUCUGGAACGCCACAGUCUGGCAGGAGAGGAAGACUAGAGAUAGGCAGCGACACCUCGGUGAGGCCAUGUGAAGACACAGGGAAAAGGCAGCUGUCUGCAAGCCAGGAAGAAAGCUCUCACCAGAAACUGACUCUGCCAGAGCUUGAUUUUGGAGUUAUGGCCUCCAGAACUGUGAGAAAAUACAUUUCUGUUGUAUAAGCC
This 287-nucleotide long non-coding RNA is filed under the name Equus caballus (horse). RNAcentral's name for it is "lncRNA (ENSECAG00000052397.1)". The record is from RNAcentral. Lineage: Eukaryota; Metazoa; Chordata; Mammalia; Perissodactyla; Equidae.